UACGAAGGGGGCGAGCGUUGUUCGGAAUUACUGGGCGUAAAGGGCGCGCAGGCGGCUCUGAAAGUCAGAUGUGAAAGCCCCGGGCUUAACCUGGGAAUUGCAUUUGAUACUCUGGAGCUUGAGUACGGGAGAGGAGAGUGGAAUUCCCAGUGUAGAGGUGAAAUUCGUAGAUAUUGGGAAGAACACCGGUGGCGAAGGCGGCUCUCUGGACCGUAACUGACGCUGAGGCUCGAAAGCGUGGGGAGCAAACAGG
This 253-nucleotide ribosomal RNA is filed under the name uncultured bacterium. Its description in RNAcentral is "partial 16S ribosomal RNA". It matches the Rfam family "Bacterial small subunit ribosomal RNA", at positions 524 to 776 of the family's 1533-position model. The record is from RNAcentral.